Molecule: long non-coding RNA, 1415 nt
Organism: Ficedula albicollis (Collared flycatcher)
Lineage: Eukaryota; Metazoa; Chordata; Aves; Passeriformes; Muscicapidae
Exons: 3
Source: RefSeq, a predicted model, not a curated record
GGACUGAAAAUAUACAGGAACCAGAAAUAGGCAGAGGUUAAGAGAUGGCUCCUUGGCAUCCACACCUUGGUUUCCAUUGCAGUUUGGAAGCAGCCAAGGAGCCAAGAAGUCCAGUGUGGCUGUUCAUUGCUGUACUGGGUGUUUGGUGGUCUGACCUCCCUUUUCCCAACACUACUGACUUGUCUUUCAGGAUAAUUGUUUCUACCCCUAUAAAGUCUAAAUCCCUUCGAUUCCCAGAGGAUCCAAAACCACACACUGUACAGAUCACCGAGAUGAACUCAAAAUAUUCAGUCCCUGCAUUUUAUCUAGAAGGAUGAGUACAGGCACAUGCCUGUAUAAAGGACUUCUGGAUGAAGAAACUCAGGUUCAGGGAGUUGUUUCUAGAAGGUGAAUCACACUGGAGGCACUUGCUUAGGCAAGUCUAAACUCCACACCGUGAAUUUUAUCACAUCUGGGUGUGAUACUGAAACUAGGAACACUUGCAUGUGUCACUUUUCCCUGGCAGUACCUUCUCUCCCUAACACUCUGUUAACAAAGACCAAGGUCAUACCUGGCUGAAACUAUUCCUUUAUUAAAGGCAGCACAGAAACAAAGUUAAAUCUUGGGGAGAAACAAGUCCAUGCAGGCAGGAAUACCAGAAUGGAAAUACAAAUGCUAACUCAAACAUACUGUUGUAGGAUUUAACAGGCCAAACUCCUGGACUUGACACCUUCACCUGACACCUGCUGUGUGAGCACACUGCUGAAGACAGAAGGAAAACCCAACAAGUUACUAAUACUGGUCUGUAGCAGGAGUCAGGACUCUGCACAUCAGAGAGGAAAACCCACAGCCAAAAUGCAACUCUCAGAGCUGUGAAAUGCAAGUGGUUGUUUUAGUGGAGCAGCCAUGUUCAAAGAGCAUGAUCACCAGAAGAUGACAGUGAAGCAGGGCCCCAACACUUGAGGAGAAAGAUUAUCUUCAUGAUGCUGUGGCUUAGUCUUUAUUGCUCUGCAUUCAGCAUGCACUAGCAAGAAGCUGCAGCAUCUCCAGGAAAACAACAAAAUUUAAAUUCUCCAGAAAAGGCUGGGAACAACUUCUUACUAAAGGCCAAGACCCACACUUCAAAUGGAGGCAAUUUUGAGUAAAAGAAAUUAAGUAUUUCAGUAGUACAUCCAGUGAGAAAUAGGAACAGUAUAUUUCAAACUGUGCAUCUGGAAGUAAAAGCAAGAUAUGCAGAAGUAUGGAGUAUUUUAUACUGAAAACAUUCUUGUCAAAUAUUCCAAAGGCAAGCACUGUGUAUUCAGGGUCACCUUCUUGUUAAUAAGCAUUCAUGAUAAAAAAAUCAGGUUUUGUAGGAGUGAUAAUUUCCCAAUGAAACCAUCAUUAAUUACGGUGCACACUUUCAGUAACACUGUUCAACUCAAGACAAAGACGUG